GCCGUGACCACGUGCCGGCCAUCGGCGCCCUCCUCGCCGCCUACAAGACCGACCCUGCGACCUCGGUCAAACCCUAGCCACUACCCCCCUCUCCCCCUCGCUCUCCUCCUCGAUCUGGAGAGGCACCCAACCCGGUCGUCGCCGUCGCCGCAUCGAUCCCGCGGCCACCGACCGCCUCUCAUCUCACCGGUGUGUCCAGGAGCUCCGUCGCGCCGCGCUCGUCCUCGUCAACUACUCCAUUCGCACCUGGAGGCCCCAAGAAGAUGCCACGAUCAACUUCCUCACCGUCACAGCCGCCGCACCUCGCCGUCGAUCCGCUACUCCGGGCCAUCCCCAACCCCUCUCGAGUUCGCCUGCGCCCUUCCCGAAAAUGAUACUUGGGAAAUCUCAUAAAGCUUCUAGAUUGCAGCCAUUGAACCAAUCAACCGAAGGGCUUAUGUAAGUUAUUACUGUAAAAUAAGUCUCAGUCCUGAGAAGAAUUCACUUUGAACACAUUUCUCUGAGACGGAUAGAACAAUCCUUGACAACCUAUGCGAGUAAGGAAAAAAUACUGUACUGAAAAGACCA
Long non-coding RNA from Triticum aestivum (bread wheat), 567 nucleotides. RefSeq lists it as uncharacterized. NCBI's taxonomy places the organism in Eukaryota, Viridiplantae, Streptophyta, Magnoliopsida, Poales, Poaceae. The transcript has 2 exons. The record is from RefSeq and is a predicted model, not a curated record.